Molecule: long non-coding RNA, 5377 nt
Organism: Balaenoptera ricei (Rice's whale)
Lineage: Eukaryota; Metazoa; Chordata; Mammalia; Artiodactyla; Balaenopteridae
Exons: 4
Source: RefSeq, a predicted model, not a curated record
CCCUACCCAGCCUCCGCGGGCCCCCGGCGCGGCAGCCGUCACAAGGCUGCCCGCGGGGCCCACUUGCAGGGAUGACAGCGCCUGAGGGGCCCACUCGGGCUCAUCUUCCGGAAGAUUCCUACGGUCGGGGUCCGAGGGACGACCCUGCGCACAGGGCCCCGCAGAUCCGGGGCCAGACGGCGGAAGGGGCGCUCCCGCCUGGAGCGGCUUGCAGGAGCUUAGUUCCCGGACCAGGGAUGGAACCCAGCCCCGGCAGUGAGAGUGCGAAGUCCUCACCGCUGGACCUCCAGAGAAUCCCCAGUACUGCUUUUUAGAAACAUUUCAAAACCCAAUAUUUAUUAUAACAACAACUAGCAUUUGUAUAGCCUUUUACUAAAAGCAGAGGAUUUCCACAAACUCAUUUGAUCAUCACAACAAUCCUAGUUAUCAUUUUCAUUUAGCACAGAAAUAUAAUGAGGCUCGGGCUUCCCUGGUGGCGCAGUUGUUGGGAAUCCGCCUGCCAAUGCAGGGGACAUGGGUUCAAGCCCUGGUCUGGGAAGAUCCCACAUGCCUCAGAGCAACUAAGACCGUGCGCCACAACUACUGAGCCUGCGCUCUAGAGCCCGCGAGCCACAACUACUGAGCCCGCGUGCUGCAACUACUGAAGCCCACGUGCCUAGAGCCCGUGCUCCGCAGCAAGAGAAGCCACCACAAUGAUAAGCCCGCGCACCGCAAUGAAGAGUAACCGCCGCUCGCUGCAAUUAGAGAAAGCCCGUGCGCAGCAACGAAGACCCAACGCAGCCAAAAAUAAAUAAAUAAAUAAAAUAAAUUUCUUUUAAAAAAAAGAAAUAUAAUGAGGCUCAAGGUGAUUAAAUGCCUGUGGUGACUCUGCUAGACUGUACCAGAAAUGGGGUUCUAACUUAAGCUUUCCAUGGCCAAAAUCAAGUUUUCGUCCCUGCAUCAUUCAGCAAGCCACUGUGUGAAGUGUUGGUGGAGACAAAGUAUGAUAAAGGACUACCCUCAAGAAAUUUAUCAUCACUUAUCUGAUGAAACAGAGGAAGGAGUACCAUGAUCAACUAGCCAAUGACAUAGAUCUGCACAAGUCAGACUAUUCUGAUUGCUGCUUUGACUCUGCUGUCCACCAGUGCUGCCACUUGGUCCCUGCAACCCUAGGAUCCAAUUACUCCUAUUGCAUUUAGGUUCCCCAAUUCAGUGGCUACUGUAUUUCCCACUGUUAAGGUCUGGCCUACAGAGAAGAGCGAUCACAGAGCCCUUCAUGGAUGCUGGAGCUCCCCUCACAAACUGCUAUGGAGUGCUGAAGAGCAGAAACUGGGAGCUUUAAAGCUUAAAGGGACAUUGACGUCAUGUGACCCAUGCUGAGGAAGAAUCCAUGGCAAAAGCAGAAUCUGAACUCUGAUCUCCUAACCUCCUAUCCAUCCAGUCCGGAGUUUUUUGCCUUGUGCCAUGAAGCCUUACUUCAAGCAUGUAGGUACUUGAUAAACACUUGAAGCUGCUAUGGACUUUCAUUUCCAUUCUGCUUUUUGCUUAAUGUUUACUUAGCAUUGUGGCAGCCUGGAAGAGUUGUGCUACGUAGAGCUGUAGAAACAGACAAACUUAGAUGUGAAUCCUGACUUUGCCAUUCUCUAGCUGUGUGACCUCUUGCAAUGCUAUCAGCUCCACCUUCAAAAUAUAACCUCAUCAUAACUGAAUCACUUUGCUGUACACCUGAAACCAACACAACACUGUAAAUCAACUGUUUUCAAGAAAAAUUUAGAUAUAUAUACAAAUAAAACCUCAUCUCUGGCCACACUACCAUGAACACGCAUGAAAUUAUCAAUUAUCAGGUUAUAAACUACAUAUUUUGUUUACUUCUACAUUCCUAGUUCUUUAACAUUAAGUGCUCAGUAAUUAUGCAUUGAAUAAAUGAAGUUUAUUUAACUGCUCUAAUCCCCAGUUUGCUAAUCUGAAAAAUGGGGAGAGUAUUAACCACACUUAUUGUACAAGUUGAAAAAAGAUGAAAUAAUGUAUCUAAACAGUAGAGCGUAAUAAACGCUCACUAAGCAUAGCUGUAAUUUUGCCACAAAUUAUUAUGCUUAAAGUAAAGGAAAACAAUCCUCCUAUUGUAUUUCCAAAAGUUAUGCAAUUUUUAUGAGGCCGUCCUUACUUGUUUCUUUUUAAGAUUUAUUUUUUAUUUAUUUAUUUAUUUAAUUUAUUUUUGGCUGCUUUGGGUCUUAGUUGCGGCACACGGGAUCUUUGUUGUGGUGCGUGGGCUUCUCUCUAGUUGUGGUGUACGGGUUUUUCUCUUCUCUAGUUGUGGUACGUGGGCUCCAGGGCACAUGGGCUCUGUAGUUGUGGCAUGAGGGUUCCAGAGCGCAUGGGCUCUGUAGUUUGUGGCACGGCGGGCUCUCUAGUUGAGGCGCGUGAGCUCAGUAGUUGUGGCACGGGGGCUUAGUUGCCCUGAGGCAUGUGGGAUCUUAGUUCCCUGACCAGGGAUCAAACCCACGUCUCCUGCAUUGUAAGGCAGAUUCUUUACCACUGGACCACCAGGGAAGUCCCCCUUACUUUUAAAAGUUAGUUAGCAGAUACAUUUUUUAACGUGCAUAUGCUGUAUUUUAAAAUAUUUAGUGUCGGUAUCUGAGAAUAGAUUUUUGCCUGUGUGCUCCUAAUGUAUUAAAAUAAACAGUGUCAUAUCAGUUUCAUAUUAAAUCUUAAUUGUAAUGUUCUAUUUAUGGUAGAUAAGUCUCUCUUAAUUACAUAAAAUGCCAGAGACAACAGGAGGCAGAACAAAAUACAUUAUAGGGAACAAGCAAAGCUAGUGAACAGGAAUGAUAAGUUAGCGAAGUUGGGGAAAAGUUAUGUGACAAAAGCAUACAAUGAUAUAGAACUUAAUCUUAAUAUUUACCUCUAGCAAAUCCUAAAUACAGAAUUGUCCAAAAAUCUAAGUAAUGCAGAAAUAUAUAUGAAAUAGGAAGUGAAAGUCCACUACAAUCCACGUCCAAAAAUAAUCAUUAACAGCUUACUUUAUAUUCUUUUUGAUUUUCUAUGUACUAACAUACAAAUAAGUAUAUGUAUCUCUUUAUCAAAAAUGGUAUUGGAGGGCUUCCCUGGUGACGCAGUGGUUGAGAAUCUGCCUGCCAAUGCAGGGGACACGGGUUCGAGCCCUGGUCUGGGAGGAUCCCACAUGCCGCGGAGCAACUGGGCCCGUGAUCCACAACUACUGAGCCUGCGCACCUGGAGCCUGUGCGCCGCACCAAGAGAGGCCACGAUAGUGAGAGGCCUGCGCACCGCGAUGAAGAGUGGCCCCCGCUUGCCGCAACUAGAGGAAGCCCGUGCGCAGCAACGAAGACCCAACACAGCCAUAAAUAAAUAAAUAAAUAAAUAAAUUUUUUUUAAAAAAAAGAAAAAAGCCUCUUAUUCUAACUUUUUAAAAAAAAAAAUGGUAUUGGACUAUAUAUACUCUUUUGUAACCUUUUUCACUUAAUAGUAUAUCCUUCCAUGUCAGUGUAUGUGGUUUUCUUCCAGUUCCUUAAAGAUGCCACUUUGCUUACCUCAUGGCCUUCCAUACAAUCCUGGAAUAUUCUUUCCCAUACUUUGCAAAUCUAGUUCCUUGUUUCCCUUUAAUUCUCUGCAUAAAUGUCAUUUCUUUAGAUAGGUUUUUCCAGGUCAAUUUAUAGAGUUCUCCCCACCAUUAUUCUCUAUCACUGCACAAUAUUUAUUUCCCUUGGAGCAGGUACCACAGUUUGUAAUUGUGAGUUUGUUCACUUAUUUUCUUGCCUAUUUUUUCUCUCUAAACUGUGAAUCUCACAAGGACAGGGAAUAAACCUGUUUUCUUCAUUACUGUAUAUUCAGUGCCUUGCACAGUGCCAGACACCAUAGUAAGCUCUAAAUAAAUGUGUUGAAAUAAAUAAGUGUGUAAGUAACACACUGAAAAAAGGGUAUUUUUUCUUUCACUUCCUGUCCAUGAUGGAUAGAGCACUGCUUUCUUUUUUUCUUCAGUUCUUUACUUAUUCUCAGUUAAGAAACAAUACUGUACAGUUGACCUUUGAACAUCAUGAGUUUGAACUGUGCAGGUCCACUUUUACAUGGAUUUUUUUUCAAUAAAUGCAUACUACAGUACUUACAGGAUACGUGAUUGGUUGAAUCUGUUGUGGUUGUGGAACUGUGGAUACAGAAGGUCAACUGUAAAGUUAUACACAGAUUUUUGACAGCACAGAGGUUAGUGCCCCUAACUUCCUACACUGUUCAACUGUACUUAUCUUGAUUCACACCUGGGAUUUGUUUUAAUCAGGUAUGGUAAGGUGACAGACACAAGGACAACUGCUUUUGAAAUAAGAGUUUAUUAUAUACAGUUCCCAAAAAAAGGGAGCAUGCCACACCAUGCAGGGCCACAUGGGGAAGCACCAGGGUCAGUCUGGAGGCAGAAGGAGUGAAAGAAAAAGCAUGGCCCAGAGCCUUUAUUGUAGUUUCUGCAGAAAGGAAUGGAUGAGGCAGCAUACGAAGGUUUAAGUAAAUUUGGGAUUGGAUAGUUUGAAUAUUUUUAGCAGGCUCUGGUCUAUAGGGGUGGUCUCUAGUUGUCCAGUACCUGGCCCUGGGUGGAGAGGGGUGAUUUAGAGCAGGGGAAAUACUGGCUUGGCGUAUGAGAAUUAAAUAAAGGAGGAAGCUGGGGAUAUGGGCUUUAGAUUGGUUGGUUUGGAUAUGAAAGGCACAUUCACAGAGGAAGCCAUUUGCUACCUCUAGGAUAAUUUUUAGAGAUAAAAGCCCUGCGAGUGGCAGCCUCUCCUCUGUCGGUAAGGCCACCAAUAUAUCAAAGUAUCACAAAAUAUACAAAAUAAAAAGCAUGAUUAAUACAUUUCCAACCUAAUUUAGGUAUUAUGAAUGCUCAUUCCCCAGUUAAAUUUUUCAGAUGAAAGAUAUAAACCACAUCUGUGUAUAUAAAUCUUUGUCUCGUUUAAUGCAGGCAGAUGGGCAGGGCCUGAAAUUUGGAGUUAAGAACCUGAGUUUAAGCACUGAUCCUUCCCAUUUCCAGCUGGGUGCUCUUAGCCAAUCCACUUAACCUCUCUGAACAGCAAGUUCAUCAUAACUAAAGCAGGGAUAACAGUAAUAUUUACCAGAAAUGUGAUUGUAUUUGUCAAAAUGUUUUGUAACUACAGUGCACCAUGUACAUGUUUAAAGUUUUACUGCAAUAUACUGCAGGGACUUUUUCUCAGAAUAAGAAUUUAGAAGGUUUUUUUGUUGUUGUUGUAAUUAUAGAAAUGUUCAAGGGCAAGACUGGAGGGGGAACACUAAAAAUUGAUUCAGGAAAAGAAUAAUAAUUCACUGUCUAGUUACAUAGUGCAAUUUUGGAUUAAAGGGUACUUUCCAUCAAUGGACUUCAAAAAGCUUUGAAACGUUUAUUUAU